Molecule: ribosomal RNA, 348 nt
Filed under: Liocheles nigripes
Lineage: Eukaryota; Metazoa; Arthropoda; Arachnida; Scorpiones; Hormuridae
Description: partial 16S ribosomal RNA
Source: RNAcentral
UUAGUCUUUUAAUUUGGGACUGGAAUGAAUGGUUUGACUGUGUGAAUCUGUCUUAUAGUAAUAUUUCGAAAUUUAUUUUUUAGUAAAAAAGCUAAAAUUCUCCUUAAAGACGAGAAGACCCUAUCAAACUUYACAAAUCUAGUCUAAUCUUCUGGAAUUAAGAUUUAKUUUGUUUUACUGGGGCAGUUGAUAGGUAAAAUUCUAUUUUUAUAUUGUGAAUUUAAUUCUUGAUAAAUCAAAAAUUUUUUAAAUAAAAAUAAGUUACUGUAGGGAUAACAGCAUAWUUUUUUUUAAGAGUUCUUAUUAUCAAAAAAGUUUGUGACCUCGAUGUUGGAUUAAGAAACCUUG